AUUGAACGCUGGCGGCAGGCCUAACACAUGCAAGUCGAACGGUAACAGGAAGCAGCUUGCUGCUUCGCUGACGAGUGGCGGACGGGUGAGUAAUGUCUGGGAAACUGCCUGAUGGAGGGGGAUAACUACUGGAAACGGUAGCUAAUACCGCAUAACGUCGCAAGACCAAAGAGGGGGACCUUAGGGCCUCUUGCCAUCGGAUGUGCCCAGAUGGGAUUAGCUAGUAGGUGGGGUAACGGCUCACCUAGGCGACGAUCCCUAGCUGGUCUGAGAGGAUGACCAGCCACACUGGAACUGAGACACGGUCCAGACUCCUACGGGAGGCAGCAGUGGGGAAUAUUGCACAAUGGGCGGAAGCCUGAUGCAGCCAUGCCGCGUGUAUGAAGAAGGCCUUCGGGUUGUAAAGUACUUUUAGCGGGGAGGAAGGGAGUAAAGUUAAUACCUUUGCUCAUUGACGUUACCCGAAGAAGAAGCACCGGCUAACUCCGUG
This 490-nucleotide ribosomal RNA is filed under the name uncultured bacterium. RNAcentral's name for it is "partial 16S ribosomal RNA". It matches the Rfam family "Bacterial small subunit ribosomal RNA", at positions 30 to 507 of the family's 1533-position model. The record is from RNAcentral.